This 374-nucleotide ribosomal RNA is filed under the name uncultured organism. RNAcentral describes it as "bacterial SSU rRNA". It matches the Rfam family "Bacterial small subunit ribosomal RNA", at positions 526 to 896 of the family's 1533-position model. The record is from RNAcentral.
CGGGGGGAGCAAGCGUUGUUCGGAUUUACUGGGCGUAAAGGGCGCGUAGGCGGCCACCGCAAGUCGACUGUGAAAUCUCUGGGCUUAACCCAGAACGGUCAGCCGAUACUGCGGGGCUAGAGUGCAGAAGGGGCAACUGGAAUUCUCGGUGUAGCGGUGAAAUGCGUAGAUAUCGAGAGGAACACCUGCGGCGAAGGCGGGUUGCUGGGCUGACACUGACGCUGAGGCGCGAAAGCUAGGGGAGCGAGCGGGAUUAGAUACCCCGGUAGUCCUAGCCUUAAACGAUGAAUGCUUGGUGUCUGGGGUUUUAUAGUCCCCGGGUGCCGUCGCUAACGCUUUAAGCAUUCCGCCUGGGGAGUACGGUCGCAAGACUG